Molecule: RNA transcript, 2006 nt
Organism: Cucumis melo (muskmelon)
Lineage: Eukaryota; Viridiplantae; Streptophyta; Magnoliopsida; Cucurbitales; Cucurbitaceae
Exons: 11
Source: RefSeq, a predicted model, not a curated record
AAUGGUUAGGGGGGUGAGUUAGCGGUAGAACUCGGGUUGGAGAGAGAAACGAGAGAGAGAGAUUACGUGUGUGUGUGCGAGAGAGAAAGAGAACGGAGAAAAGGUUACGUAAAUGUGAAUCGACUGAAGAAGAAAGAAACAGCAAUUAUCUCUCUUUUUCUUCUCUCUCUCUAUUUAGCUUCUCUAGCGGUGGCCUACGGCUACGAGAUUCGCCCGUCCUCUACCUUUGGGGACUUCCACCCUCAUCAAAGAUCGGAUUCAUCCUCGUCCCAAACGCCGGAGAGUUAUGGUGGACACCGACAACAUGCCCGAUUCCUCUCACAACCUGGAGGAUGAAGUUGGGAGAGUGGUUGAGCAGGCCAAAGAGUUGCAUGAAUCUGCUGCAUCUCUAAUCUCCAGAACAGCCAUCGACGAACAGUCUCUCCGCCAACGUGCUCUCUCUCUUGACUCUUCACUUCGCCGUCUUCGUUCUUUACUCAAUUCGCUUCAAUCCAAGAAGCUUGUGGACUCUAAGCUUGCUGAAAAGCUGGAAGAUGACUUGCAAAGAGCUAAAUGUAUGAUGACUGACGGAGAGGUUGCAUCGUUUCUUCCUGGGAAGCCGCAAGGGAGGUUCUUGCGGAUGUUUCUGGGACCUAUAAAUGUGCGUGCUUCAAGGAAAGAUGUUCAGUUGAAAGUUAAAGAGGAAUAUAACAGUUACAGGGACAGGACUGCUCUUCUUUUUCUCCUUUUCCCCUCUCUGCUGCUUGUUCUAAGAGGCUGGGUUUGGGAUGGAUGCUUGCCUGCAUUUCCAGUUCAACUGUACCAGGCAUGGCUCUUGUUCCUAUACACAGGAUUGGCAUUGCGUGAAAACAUACUAAGAGUCAAUGGCAGUGACAUUCGCCCUUGGUGGAUCUAUCAUCACUAUUGCGCUAUGAUUAUGGCACUAGUUAGUCUUACGUGGGAGAUCAAAGGACAGCCAAAUUGUGCCCAAAAGCAGAGAGGUGUACAACUCUUUCUACAGUGGGCCAUGAUGCAAGGAGUUGCAAUGCUUUUACAAAAUAGAUAUCAGCGGCAGAGGCUUUAUACUCGGAUUGCUCUUGGAAAGGCUAAGAGAAUGGAUGUCGUUUGGGGAGAAACAGCUGGUGUAGAUGGUCAACUAUGGAUACUGUGUCCUAUACUCUUUAUCUUACAGGGCUUUGAGGCAUACGUUGGCUUACUUCUCCUCAAGACUGCAUUGGUGGGUGUGGUGCCUGAAUGGCAGGUACUAUUUUGUGGAUUCCUUUUGGUUCUAAUGGCGGUCGGGAACUUCUCAAAUACAGUUCAAACCUUAAUGGUAAAAUCAAGAUUCAAGGCAAAGAUGAAAAGAAGCAAGAGCAAGCAGGAAUUGGCCCAGACCAAUUAAUACGUAGGAUUACUUAAAUCAACAACUUGUAGGAUCUAUUCUUUACCUUUUCAGGUCUUGAAUAUGUUUUGUCGAAGCUGAUCUGUGAGAAUUGUCCUUCCCCCCUUUUUUAUAUCAUCAUUUUGACUCAAUACAUUUUUAUCAUGUAAAGUUGGUCUUGCAUAGGUUCUUCCCCGGAGAAGUUGAUGGAAGUGCUUCUAAGCGCAGGACUCGUGUUCCAGUUACCAUAUCUUUCAGCGUUGUCGUUAUCGAAAUUGGGGUAACAUAAAACUUUGUGAGCUUACUGCAUAGAAGUUUUGAGCCAAGUUAAACCCGAAACUAAAACCACCUUUCCGUUUAACUACUGUCUGCCGAGUAUACUUGAUUAUGAAGGCUGAAUGCAACUUUAUGGGAAAAAAAAGAGUUUAGCUGUUCCAUUAUCGAGUUGAACAGAAAUUGAACAGAAAUUCUUGGGUUCAAAAUUCAUUGACUGAUACCGUAGAAUUAUGACAUCCUCAAUAGGUUUUUUAUUGUACUUGUAAAUGGUCUUCCAUAAUUUUACAUGAUCUUUGUAAACCUUGAGAAACAUUGUAAUUAAAUGCUUCGGAUGAAAUAUGUAAUAUUUUAUCUUUGCUUUGUGGAGGCA